UCCAGGACCCAGGCUGGUGAUGAGCAUU
RNAcentral lists this non-coding RNA (28 nucleotides) under Homo sapiens (human). The record is from RNAcentral. Lineage: Eukaryota; Metazoa; Chordata; Mammalia; Primates; Hominidae.